RNAcentral lists this ribosomal RNA (204 nucleotides) under Hyaloscypha sp. RNAcentral describes it as "partial large subunit ribosomal RNA". Lineage: Eukaryota; Fungi; Ascomycota; Leotiomycetes; Helotiales; Hyaloscyphaceae. The record is from RNAcentral.
AAGCGCUUGCAACCAGACUUGCACACUGUUGAUCAUCCGAGCUUCUGCCCGGUGCACUCAGCAGCGUUCAGGCCAGCAUCGGUUUUGGUGGGCGGAUAAAGGCCUUGGGAAUGUAGCUUCUUUCGGGGAGUGUUAUAGCCCUCGGUGCAAUGCCGCCUACCGGGACUGAGGACCGCGCUUCGGCGAGGAUGCUGGCGUAAUGGU